UGGGGAAUCUUGCACAAUGGAGGAAACUCUGAUGCAGCGACGCCGCGUGAGCGAAGAAGCCUUUCGGGGUGUAAAGCUCUUACGCCAGGGACGAUAAUGACGGUACCUGGAGAAGCAGCUGCGGCUAACUACGUGCCAGCAGCCGCGGUAAUACGUAGGCAGCAAGCGUUGUUCGGAAUUACUGGGCGUAAAGGGUGCGUAGGCGGCGCUCUAAGUUUGGUGUGAAAUCUCCCGGCUUAACUGGGAGGGUGCACUGAAAACUGGGGCGUUCGAGUAUGGGAGAGGAAAGCGGAAUUCUUGGUGUAGCGGUGAAAUGCGUAGAUAUCAAGAGGAACACCUGAGGCGAAGGCGGGUUGCUGGGCCGACACUGACGCUGAUGCGCGAAAGCCAGGGGAGCAAACG
Molecule: ribosomal RNA, 402 nt
Filed under: uncultured bacterium
Lineage: Bacteria
Description: bacterial SSU rRNA
Rfam family: Bacterial small subunit ribosomal RNA
Source: RNAcentral